CCGGCGUGGUUUAGCUUGCUUUAUGUAGCGCAGAGGGUUUCAGAUUGCUUUCUAUGAUGUGAUGGUGAUUGCUUUCUAUUGACUCAUUGGAGCAAAAUGAUUCCAUCCAUCAGCUAAGAGAAAAAGGGUUCAAUUCAUCAUCUGAGGUAAAUCAUUUCCUAAAUUAAGUUCUCCAUAUUAGAAUUCUUGUACUCUUAACACAAUUGGCAAAAUAAGUUCCGACUCCGCUGUUAUUCUUAACUGGCAUCCUAACUUUUGACCAUGUACAUGUGCAUCUUCCUUUUAUGAUGAUAUAAAGAUGUUUUUAAUUUUCUCAUAUCAUAGGUAUAAUAAUUCAGAGUAUUUACAUGAUUACAGGACCCCCAUAUAUUCUUAAUUAUGAAUGCAGUAGUUAUAUAUUCUUUAUCUAUUAUAGAUGAAUUCAAGAAGCUAUUAUCACCGUUUGCGAUCUCAUCAUUUUCCAUGAUCAGUCAAUAGCUAAUCGUAUUUAUUUCUUCAUUUCUUCUUUUGGGUCGGCAGGUAAGCUAAUUAGGCUAUUUUCCCUGUUAUCUAUUUCAGCAACUGGAUUCUUUAAAGGAUUUCAACAGAGUUCAUUGUGGGAACCUGAACCCUACUACCAUGUCUCCACUUUCAUGCAGUGGGCUUGACUGGAUCAUAAAGUUUUCUCGCCGAAGAUUCCCUACGCCACCAGCUACUACCCUGAUCCUCUCCCACCAUGGCACAACAAGGCACAUCUUCCUCUCAUGUGAAAGUAACUGAAGGCCAUCCCACCUGACAUCCAUGGAGCUAAUUUCCAUUUCGGAAUUAAGUGUGAGUUCUCUACGGGCAACAAAAUCUAUCAUCUAUCUCUUGUGCUAAUUUCCAUUUCAAAACAUGCAUCAAAGAUUUCAACUUGCUCUCCUGUGGUAUAUAGUUUUGUGUUUAACAACUUGACUACCUAUCAUCUAUCUCCCACGACAACUUAAUGUGAACUUUAUUACCGCUGGAUAUGCGAAAGUGAUACAUAUAUGUGAUGAUUUCAGAGAUAUUAAAUUUUUCCAUAUAUGGCUCCUGUGGUCAAUAUAUGCUUUUUCUAUAUUUUUUAAAAAAAAUCAGCUGCAUGAAAGUGAUGCAUAUAUGUGAUGAUUCCUGACCUAACUUUGUGCUAGGAUGAUUCCUAGAGUCGCACUUUUUGUUGAUUAAUCUUUCUAUCCCAUAAUGAUUACCCCUCUGUGUUUUAUUGUAUUGUUAGGAAAUUUAAAAGGUUUUAUUGCCGGUGUAUAUUUUUCUGUAUGUCAUAUAUUAUGCGAGUUAUUUCUAACGCAUCUUGAUCUUAUUUUAGAAUCAUCUGACUGAAGUCAUGGUCUUUUGAGCUUAUAGUUAACUAAACCAUCUUUUAUAUCAGAUAUCAAAUUAUCUACACUUGUAAUAAGAUAUAAUGUAUCAAACUAGGAUUUCACUCCUUUAAUAGAGCUUCUUUGGUGAUACGAAACCAACCAUUCAUCUAUUUGUUUCAUUGCAUCUUUUGAAUUGAAUGUUACUAGGUACAUGCUAACAACAAUCCUCUUGGUUUAAAUUUGUCAUUUACCAAGGCUCCUCUUGGUUCUACUCUAUGAAUUGUAUUGAUAAUUUUGUAAUUGACAUGCUGAUUGGUUUAGUUAUUCAGGUAGACGUCCAGUGGUUAAGACUCUGUGCAGUCAACCAUGGCUUUGCGAGAGGACCAAGACAAGAGGUAAACACAAUGGCAUAGCGUAGUAGUAUGUAGCAGUUCUUUCAUUAUAACGGCUUGUAGUUAUCAUCGGGUUUUAGUAUCAGUAUUUCUCAGAAAACAGUAUGUAUACAUCAUAUCUAAAUUUCAUCUUUCCUUUGUUUGGAUCGGCUACUGUCAAACGUAAAACUAAACAGAACCAGGUCAUGUGAUUAGAAAUACAAUUGCUCAGGUUUCCUUUGACGACAUAGGUAGUUUGGUAGGUUAGUAAAACUAAGUGAACGAUGUAAUAGUCUAUAAGAUGUAUCAGUUUGUCGUGUGAUCCUUUUGCAUAUGUUUAUGGAUGGAUACUCGACGCGCUCGGUUCAUACCGUUGCUGAUACUUACCUUCUCUUGCUGAUUUCCCCAAAUCAUGCACAUAGCUAUUUUAGUAUGGGUUAGGCAAUCUCCCUUUGUAAAAAAGUAUAUAUGUAUGGCACCCUUUGUGUGAGUGAAAUAUCCAUCAGCAUUGUACUGGACCAUAUGCUCUUUGUACUAAAUUUAAUGUUUUCCACUGAACCAUAUUUAAAUUUGUAAUGGAUUUUGGUUCUUUGUAGUACCAGACUAAUGCUUCGCUGAGAAACAACAGACGCUGGAUCAUUGACUUAGACAGUCACCAUGCACCAAGUCGGUUCCUACCGGGUUACAAGUGUUGUCUUCCUCACGUGUCUUUGAGAAAUCCUAAUGUUGGAUUAGUGGUCUCAGUGUUCCCUUUUGUAUCUGUUUGCCGCCUCUAUACCUCUAUCUCUUUUUGUACCACUUUCAUUGCAGUUAUGGAUAUAACAUUUGAUCGCUUAAUGGCUAAUAAAGUUGUCGGACAUAAGGUUGGACUGAUUUGAGUUGUUUUAAUCUGAUGAAAAUGCCCAUUGGAUUGUUGAAUUCUGAUGUUGUUCUUACAU
This 2625-nucleotide long non-coding RNA is filed under the name Triticum aestivum (bread wheat). RNAcentral describes it as "long non-coding RNA (TAES_LNC026869)". Lineage: Eukaryota; Viridiplantae; Streptophyta; Magnoliopsida; Poales; Poaceae. The record is from RNAcentral.